This 1069-nucleotide ribosomal RNA is filed under the name uncultured Basidiomycota. RNAcentral's name for it is "eukaryotic LSU rRNA". The stretch from base 635 to 1069 matches the Rfam family "Eukaryotic large subunit ribosomal RNA", at positions 1 to 429 of the family's 3401-position model. The record is from RNAcentral. Lineage: Eukaryota; Fungi; Basidiomycota.
CUUGGUCAUUUAGAGGAAGUAAAAGUCGUAACAAGGUUUCCGUAGGUGAACCUGCGGAAGGAUCAUUAUCGAAUUAUAAGCGGAGGUUGUCGCUGGCCCCUUGGGGGGCAUGUGCACGCCCGAGCUCUUAAUCCACUUACACCAGUGAACUCUUUGUGGGGAAACCGUCCAUCUCUCCUCCGUGGGGGGUGGAGGGGAUUCUCAUGUAUUAUUCCAUAUACUCUUAUGCAUGUCUUCAGAAUGUCUUGAUGUUGCUCCAACGCAAUCAUAUAUAUACAACUUUCAACAACGGAUCUCUUGGCUCUCGCAUCGAUGAAGAACGCAGCGAAAUGCGAUAAGUAAUGUGAAUUGCAGAUUUUCAGUGAAUCAUCGAAUCUUUGAACGCACCUUGCGCUCCUUGGUAUUCCGAGGAGCAUGCCUGUUUGAGUGUCAUUAAAAUUCUCAACUUCACCGGUUUGAUUCGAGUGGAAGCUUGGAGUUUGGAGCGUGCUGGCCCUCUGGGGGUCGGCUCCUCUUUAAAUGCAGCAGCGGAGGCAUCUUUGACCUUGCGGCAUUGGCGUGAUAGUCGUUGUUGCGCCGUUGGCCCCAAGGUCUCGGUCCGCUUACAAAUGGUCCUCUUGGACAAUGAAAUGUUUGACCUCAAAUCAGGUAGGACUACCCGCUGAACUUAAGCAUAUCAAUAAGCGGAGGAAAAGAAACUAACAAGGAUUCCCCUAGUAACUGCGAGUGAAGCGGGAAAAGCUCAAAUUUAAAAUCUGGCGGUCUCCGGCCGUCCGAGUUGUAAUCUGGAGAAGUGUUUUCUGCGUCGGACCGUGUACAAGUUUUCUGGAACGGAACGUCAUAGAGGGUGAGAAUCCCGUCUUUGACACGGACCGCCGAUGCUAUGUGAUACGCUCUCGAAGAGUCGAGUUGUUUGGGAAUGCAGCUCAAAAUGGGUGGUAAAUUCCAUCUAAAGCUAAAUAUUGGCGAGAGACCGAUAGCGAACAAGUACCGUGAGGGAAAGAUGAAAAGCACUUUGGAAAGAGAGUUAAACAGUACGUGAAAUUGUUGAAAGGGAAACGCUUGAAGU